Molecule: RNA transcript, 735 nt
Organism: Grus americana (Whooping crane)
Lineage: Eukaryota; Metazoa; Chordata; Aves; Gruiformes; Gruidae
Gene: C6H2orf66
Gene name: chromosome 6 C2orf66 homolog
Exons: 4
Source: RefSeq, a predicted model, not a curated record
UCCAACAUGUGGAAAGUGGUGCUCCUGACUCUAUGUACAGUAUUGGCUGUGAGAGGAUUGGCAAAGGGUGCUCCUUUCCAACCAGAAGAAACAUGGAAACCUCUAGAUAACCCUAGAAACAGAGACCUGUUUUUCAGAACGCUCCAGGCUUAUUUUUUGGACAGGGGUCUUGAUCUCAGAAAGUUCCCAGCUACUUUCACUAUGAACAAUGAAGGACCAAGGCCUGUCAUGUUCUACUCGGAUCCUAUUGCUUCUGCAUUUGCAGAUUAUGAAGAAAGGAGAAAUUCUUUUCCAACUUAUUUCAAAGGCUGAAAGAUGCUGCUGACCAAGGUUGAAUAAAAUGAUUGCAAACUUACAUCUCUCCAUAAAUAUGAAAUAACAUCGAAGAGGGACAAGCUUGCAUUAUUAAUAAAUCCAGCCUCAAUUUAUAGCAGGCAUUAACUUUUGAACUUCAUGCGAAGUUGUAACCUUCACAGCAAAAUAUUACUGCUUUGACUUUUUAACUGUUACCUGACAAUUUAAAUUUUUUCUCACUUAUCACAGUUUUUUACCUAUGGAAUCUGAUGUCAUGCUGUAAUUGGCACAUUUGCUGUCUAUUGACAAAUGUGUGAUGUUUGGCUACUGCAGAAUUGUGUUUGUUUAAAUGUGAAUAAAUGAGGAGUGCAGCAGAGUGGUUUUAACUACUGCUAAGUGUCUUUGUUCAAAAUUGAUAAAUAAAUGUUACCUUUCAGUUUA